GGAUAUCUAACCUCGGUCCGUGAUCCGGAUCAGGGACAGUGCCUGGUGGGUAGUUUAACUGGGGCGGUUGCCUCCUAAAAGGUAACGGAGGCGCCCAAAGGUUCCCUCAGCCUGGUUGGCAAUCAGGUUUUGAGUGUAAGUGCACAAGGGAGCUUGACUGUGAGACAGGCAUGUCGAGCAGGGACGAAAGUCGGGACUAGUGAUCCGGCGGUGGCUUGUGGAAGCGCCGUCGCUCAACGGAUAAAAGGUACCCCGGGGAUAACAGGCUGAUCUUGCCCAAGAGUCCAUAUCGACGGCAUGGUUUGGCACCUCGAUGUCGGCUCGUCGCAUCCUGGGGCUGGAGUAGGUCCCAAGGGUUGGGCUGUUCGCCCAUUAAAGCGGUACGCGAGCUGGGUUUAGAACGUCGUGAGACAGUUCGGUCCCUAUCCGCUGUGCGCGUAGGAAACUUGAGAAGAGCUGUCCCUAGUACGAGAGGACCGGGAUGGACGAACCUCUGGUGUGUCAGUUGUUCUGCCAAGAGCACGGCUGAUUAGCUACGUUCGGAAGUGAUAACCGCUGAAAGCAUCUAAGCGGGAAGCACGCUUCAAGAUGAGGUUUCCAUGGGCUUCGGCCCGAGAGGCUCCCAGCUAGACUACUGGGUUGAUAGGCCAGACGUGGAAGCACAGUAAUGUGUGUAGCUGACUGGUACUAAUAAGCCGAUAACUUGACACAACAAAG
This 717-nucleotide ribosomal RNA is filed under the name Salmonella enterica subsp. enterica serovar Senftenberg. RNAcentral's name for it is "partial 23S ribosomal RNA". It matches the Rfam family "Bacterial large subunit ribosomal RNA", at positions 2216 to 2925 of the family's 2925-position model. The record is from RNAcentral. Lineage: Bacteria; Pseudomonadati; Pseudomonadota; Gammaproteobacteria; Enterobacterales; Enterobacteriaceae.